RNAcentral lists this long non-coding RNA (320 nucleotides) under Zonotrichia albicollis (white-throated sparrow). RNAcentral describes it as "lncRNA (ENSZALG00000016436.1)". Lineage: Eukaryota; Metazoa; Chordata; Aves; Passeriformes; Passerellidae. The record is from RNAcentral.
GAUGCAACAGCUUUUUUCCUUUUGUCUGUAGGUCUGUGAGAGGAUGGCCUGAAGCCCUGGGGUUUUCUGCACUUGGCACUUUUAUUGACCCCUGACUUCAUUCAAUCUGUGAUCGUGACUUUUCUGGCAGUGCCAUCCACUGAGAUCUACAGUGACUUCAGUUUUAGGUCCCUGCAUAGGCUGGGGUGAUUUCUCCAUUUCUGGAACUAGCCCAGGCUAGCCAGAACUGUCUGUGAGGCACCUUCCCACAUGUGCAAGAGUAAAUACCUGCCGGGGGUUGUGAUUUGGUAAGUGUUUAAUGUCCAUUUUUCUUCUUAUUU